AGUUAAAUCUUAGAAAGCAUUAUAUUUUGAAAAUAUAAAUCAAGGAGUUCAAUUCUCCUUUUAACUU
RNAcentral lists this transfer RNA (67 nucleotides) under Margattea concava. RNAcentral's name for it is "tRNA-Ser". It matches the Rfam family "tRNA". Rfam says of the family: Transfer RNA (tRNA) molecules are approximately 80 nucleotides in length. Lineage: Eukaryota; Metazoa; Arthropoda; Insecta; Blattodea; Pseudophyllodromiidae. The record is from RNAcentral.